CCUACGUGUGGCUGCAGUGGGGAAUAUUGGACAAUGGGCGAAAGCCUGAUCCAGCCAUGCCGCGUGUGUGAAGAAGGCCUUCGGGUUGUAAAGCACUUUCAGUGGGGAAGAAAGCCUUGGGGCUAAUACCCUCGAGGAAGGACAUCACCCACAGAAGAAGCACCGGCUAACUCCGUGCCAGCAGCCGCGGUAAUACGGAGGGUGCGAGCGUUAAUCGGAAUUACUGGGCGUAAAGCGCGCGUAGGCGGUCUGAUAAGCCGGUUGUGAAAGCCCCGGGCUCAACCUGGGAACGGCAUCCGGAACUGUCAGGCUAGAGUGCAGGAGAGGAAGGUAGAAUUCCCGGUGUAGCAGUGAAAUGCGUAGAGAUCGGGAGGAAUACCAGUGGCGAAGGCGGCCUUCUGGACUGACACUGACGCUGAGGUGCGAAAGCGUGGGUAGCAAACAGGAUUAGAUACCCCGGUAGUC
This 465-nucleotide ribosomal RNA is filed under the name Vreelandella stevensii. RNAcentral's name for it is "partial 16S ribosomal RNA". It matches the Rfam family "Bacterial small subunit ribosomal RNA", at positions 338 to 795 of the family's 1533-position model. Lineage: Bacteria; Pseudomonadati; Pseudomonadota; Gammaproteobacteria; Oceanospirillales; Halomonadaceae. The record is from RNAcentral.